GACGAACGCUGGCGGCGUGCUUAACACAUGCAAGUCGAACGGAAAGGCCCUGCUUUUGUGGGGUGCUCGAGUGGCGAACGGGUGAGUAACACGUGAGUAACCUGCCCUUGACUUUGGGAUAACUUCAGGAAACUGGGGCUAAUACCGGAUAGGAGCUCCUGCUGCAUGGUGGGGGUUGGAAAGUUUCGGCGGUUGGGGAUGGACUCGCGGCUUAUCAGCUUGUUGGUGGGGUAGUGGCUUACCAAGGCUUUGACGGGUAGCCGGCUUGAGAGGGUGACCGGCCACAUUGGGACUGAGAUACGGCCCAGACUCCUACGGGAGGCAGCAGUGGGGAAUAUUGCACAAUGGGCGGAAGCCUGAUGCAGCAACGCCGCGUGCGGGAUGACGGCCUUCGGGUUGUAAACCGCUUUCGCCUGUGACGAAGCGUGAGUGACGGUAAUGGGUAAAGAAGCACCGGCUAACUACGUGC
This 469-nucleotide ribosomal RNA is filed under the name uncultured bacterium. RNAcentral describes it as "partial 16S ribosomal RNA". It matches the Rfam family "Bacterial small subunit ribosomal RNA", at positions 28 to 508 of the family's 1533-position model. The record is from RNAcentral.